Molecule: small nuclear RNA, 68 nt
Filed under: Chrysemys picta bellii (western painted turtle)
Lineage: Eukaryota; Metazoa; Chordata; Testudines; Emydidae
Description: U5 spliceosomal RNA (ENSCPBG00000003837.1)
Rfam family: U5 spliceosomal RNA
About the family: U5 RNA is a component of both types of known spliceosome. The precise function of this molecule is unknown, though it is known that the 5' loop is required for splice site selection and p220 binding, and that both the 3' stem-loop and the Sm site are important for Sm protein binding and cap methylation.
Source: RNAcentral
UGGUUUCUCUUCAGAUUGUAUAAAUCUUUUGCCUUUUACUAAAGAUUUCCGUGGAGAAGAACGUUUAU